Molecule: long non-coding RNA, 374 nt
Filed under: Brachypodium distachyon (stiff brome)
Lineage: Eukaryota; Viridiplantae; Streptophyta; Magnoliopsida; Poales; Poaceae
Description: long non-coding RNA (BDIS_LNC005221)
Source: RNAcentral
CGGGUUUACUCCCGGCAUGGUGGCGUGGUGUCGUCCUCGGCCACUUGCCGGCACGCGCGGCGCCGUCAAGCGACCGGCGGCGGCGCUUUUUUCCCGGUGGCGCGCACAGGUACCCUUUUUUUCUUGCUUUCUUUUUCUCUGUCUACUUUCUUCUUUCUUUGUUCUUUCUCUCUUCUACCCGACGAGAUCUAUCUUCUUUUAACAAAGCUCUGAUACCAAUGUUAGAUGUUAGAGUUCAACUAGGUGUAGAUCCGGUGAGGUAGAAGGCUUUACUGUGAUACAACAUGGUUCGGGUAUAGGGAUUCAGAGAGAGAGAGAGAGAGAGGAGAGAAUGGGUACCUUCACUCUGAUUGGAGGAAGAUGCCGGGGUGGAC